GUCAAAUCAGCACGGCCCUUACGUCCGGGGCGACACACGUGUUACAAUGGCAGGUACAGCGGGAAGCCACCGGGCGACCGGGCGCGGAACCCGAAAACCUGUCUCAGUUCGGAUCGGAGUCUGCAACCCGACUCCGUGAAGCUGGAUUCGCUAGUAAUCGCGCAUCAGCCACGGCGCGGUGAAUACGUUCCCGGGCCUUGUACACACCGCCCGUCAAGCCAUGGGAGCCGGGGGUGCCUGAAGUCCGUGACCGCAAGGGGCGGCCUAGGGUAAAACCGGUGACUGGGGCUAAGUCGUAACAAGG
This 304-nucleotide ribosomal RNA is filed under the name uncultured bacterium. Its description in RNAcentral is "bacterial SSU rRNA". It matches the Rfam family "Bacterial small subunit ribosomal RNA", at positions 1184 to 1496 of the family's 1533-position model. The record is from RNAcentral.